Molecule: unclassified non-coding RNA, 598 nt
Filed under: Fusarium oxysporum
Lineage: Eukaryota; Fungi; Ascomycota; Sordariomycetes; Hypocreales; Nectriaceae
Description: partial miscellaneous RNA
Source: RNAcentral
AUUUCCCCAAUGGGUUCUCCGGAUUUCUGGAGACUUGUAGGGGUUGUGGGAUUUUUGAUGUGUCGUCUCCGGACGGGCGGUGCAGGGUAGUCGAGUUAGACUUGGUGGAAUUCCGUCGAUAGGAGUUCCGUCGAGUCUGGUCGGCUGUGUGUUGGACGGUGCAGGGUAGGCUGCUUGGACAUGGUCGGUUCGAGGAUCGAUUCGAGGGCCGGCCUGUCGAUGAUGUGUGAUGUAUGCGGUCUAGGGUAGGCUGGUUUGUCUUGGUUCAAUUUGAUGUCGGCUCCCGUGCAGGCCAGAGUGAGGGGGGUCCAGGGUAGGUACAGGGUAGGCAGCUUAGAUUUGGUCGAUCUGGAGGUCGAUUCUCCGGCUGGCGGAUCUGACACUGUCGAAACGAGAUGCGAGCGGUGUAGGGUAGGCUAGUUUCGCCCUCGCCAGGUUGCGAUUUGGACGAGAUAUGUGGUUUAGUGUAUGCUCUAGGGUAAGUAGAAUUCGAGUUUCGUCGCCGACAGUUUUCUGUGGGUGUAUGGUAGGUACAGGGUAGGCAAAUCUCUCUCCGGCCAGUACUUGUCUGGUGGUCGUGAGUCGAUUUUUUUGUUUU